CCUGUGUCCUGCGUUCUCCUGGUCUUCAUCCUGUGUCCUCCUGAUCCUGCGUUACUGUGUUCUCCUGGUCCUUCAUUGCUGUGUCCUCCGAUCCAGUGCUCUGAUUCCGUGGCCUCUGACUCACUACCAGCGAUCCUGUCCCUGCAGCCUUGCUGAUUUAUUCGUUCUUGUUGUCACUACAUUAGUCUUGUGACUUUGGAUCUGUGCCCUACCUGAUACCCGUGUUAGCUGCACAAUCCUACCCUAAUA
Non-coding RNA from Pelobates cultripes (western spadefoot toad), 249 nucleotides. The record is from the annotation of a GenBank genome assembly. NCBI's taxonomy places the organism in Eukaryota, Metazoa, Chordata, Amphibia, Anura, Pelobatidae.